Molecule: ribosomal RNA, 429 nt
Filed under: Chloroflexota bacterium
Lineage: Bacteria; Bacillati; Chloroflexota
Description: Chloroflexi bacterium partial 16S ribosomal RNA
Rfam family: Bacterial small subunit ribosomal RNA
Source: RNAcentral
UGGGGAAUAUUGCACAAUGGGCGCAAGCCUGAUGCAGCCAUGCCGCGUGUAUGAAGAAGGCCUUCGGGUUGUAAAGUACUUUCAGCGGGGAGGAAGGGAGUAAAGUUAAUACCUUUGCUCAUUGACGUUACCCGCAGAAGAAGCACCGGCUAACUCCGUGCCAGCAGCCGCGGUAAUACGGAGGGUGCAAGCGUUAAUCGGAAUUACUGGGCGUAAAGCGCACGCAGGCGGUUUGUUAAGUCAGAUGUGAAAUCCCCGGGCUCAACCUGGGAACUGCAUCUGAUAAUGGGAAGCUUGAGGCUCGUAGAGGGGGGUAGAAUUCCAGGUGUAGCGGUGAAAUGCGUAGAGAUCUGGAGGAAUACCGGUGGCGAAGGCGGCCCCCUGGACGAAGACUGACGCUCAGGUGCGAAAGCGUGGGGAGCAAACAGG